This 440-nucleotide ribosomal RNA is filed under the name uncultured bacterium. RNAcentral's name for it is "partial 16S ribosomal RNA". It matches the Rfam family "Bacterial small subunit ribosomal RNA", at positions 339 to 795 of the family's 1533-position model. The record is from RNAcentral.
CUACGGGCCGCUCCAGUGGGGAAUAUUGGACAAUGGGGGAAACCCUGAUCCAGCGAUGUCGCGUGAGUGAGGAAGGCCUUCGGGUUGUAAAACUCUUUUAUAGGUGAAGAUGAUGACGGUAACCUAUGAAUAAGCUCCGGCUAACUUCGUGCCAGCAGCCGCGGGUAAUACGAAGGGAGCAAGCGUUGUUCGGAAUAACUGGGCGUAAAGGGCGCGUAGGCGGUCUAAUAAGUUUGGUGUGAAAGCCCUGGGCUCAACCUGGGAAUAGCAUUGAAUACUGUUAGGCUAGAGGAUUGAAGGGGAUGAUGGAAUUAUGCAUGGAGAGGUGGAAUUCAUAGAUAUGCAUAGGAACACCGGUGGCGAAGGCGAUCAUCUGGGCAAUUACUGACGCUGAGGCGCGAAAGCGUGGGGAGCAAACAGGAUUAGAUACCCGAGUAGUC